GACGAACGCUGGCGGCGUGCUUAACACAUGCAAGUCGAACGGAAAGGCCCUGCUUUUGUGGGGUGCUCGAGUGGCGAACGGGUGAGUAACACGUGAGUAACCUGCCCUUGACUUUGGGAUAACUUCAGGAAACUGGGGCUAAUACCGGAUAGGAGCUCCUGCUGCAUGGUGGGGGUUGGAAAGUUUCGGCGGUUGGGGAUGGACUCGCGGCUUAUCAGCUUGUUGGUGGGGUAGUGGCUUACCAAGGCUUUGACGGGUAGCCGGCCUGAGAGGGUGACCGGCGAAAUGGGGACUGGGAGAAGGAAGGGAGGAGGAAGGGAGGAAGAAGGGGGGAAGAGGGAAGAAGGGGUGGAAGCAGGAGGCAGCAAGGACGGGUGAGGGAUGAGGGAGUUAGGGAUGGAAAAAGGGGUCGCCGGGGAAGAAGAGGGAGGGACGGGAAUGGGUAAAGAAGGACCGGCGAACUACGUG
RNAcentral lists this ribosomal RNA (468 nucleotides) under uncultured bacterium. RNAcentral describes it as "partial 16S ribosomal RNA". The stretch from base 20 to 332 matches the Rfam family "Bacterial small subunit ribosomal RNA", at positions 47 to 358 of the family's 1533-position model. The record is from RNAcentral.